CGGGUGAGUAACGCGUGAGGAACCUGCCUCAAAGAGGGGGACAACAGUUGGAAACGACUGCUAAUACCGCAUAAGCCCACGGCUCGGCAUCGAGCAGAGGGAAAAGGAGCAAUCCGCUUUGGGAUGGCCUCGCGUCCGAUUAGCUAGUUGGUGAGGUAAUGGCCCACCAAGGCGACGAUCGGUAGCCGGACUGAGAGGUUGAACGGCCACAUUGGGACUGAGACACGGCCCAG
RNAcentral lists this ribosomal RNA (233 nucleotides) under uncultured bacterium. RNAcentral describes it as "partial 16S ribosomal RNA". It matches the Rfam family "Bacterial small subunit ribosomal RNA", at positions 103 to 334 of the family's 1533-position model. The record is from RNAcentral.